RNAcentral lists this ribosomal RNA (252 nucleotides) under uncultured bacterium. RNAcentral describes it as "partial 16S ribosomal RNA". It matches the Rfam family "Bacterial small subunit ribosomal RNA", at positions 524 to 776 of the family's 1533-position model. The record is from RNAcentral.
UACGUAGGUCCCGAGCGUUGUCCGGAUUUAUUGGGCGUAAAGCGAGCGCAGGUGGUUUAUUAAGUCUGGUGUAAAAGGCAGUGGCUCAACCAUUGUAUGCAUUGGAAACUGGUAGACUUGAGUGCAGGAGAGGAGAGUGGAAUUCCAUGUGUAGCGGUGAAAUGCGUAGAUAUAUGGAGGAACACCGGUGGCGAAAGCGGCUCUCUGGCCUGUAACUGACACUGAGGCUCGAAAGUGUGGGUAUCAAACAGG